RNAcentral lists this ribosomal RNA (654 nucleotides) under Bacillus sp. NTRP10. RNAcentral's name for it is "bacterial SSU rRNA". It matches the Rfam family "Bacterial small subunit ribosomal RNA", at positions 57 to 692 of the family's 1533-position model. The record is from RNAcentral. Lineage: Bacteria; Bacillati; Bacillota; Bacilli; Caryophanales; Bacillaceae.
GCAAGUCGAGCGGACCUUUUAAAAGCUUGCUUUUGAAAGGUUAGCGGCGGACGGGUGAGUAACACGUGGGCAACCUGCCCUAUAGUUUGGGAUAACUCCGGGAAACCGGGGCUAAUACCGGAUAAUACAAUUUAGCUCCUGCUAGAUUGUUGAAAGAUGGUUUCGGCUAUCGCUAUAGGAUGGGCCCGCGGCGCAUUAGCUAGUUGGUAGGGUAACGGCCUACCAAGGCGACGAUGCGUAGCCGACCUGAGAGGGUGAUCGGCCACACUGGGACUGAGACACGGCCCAGACUCCUACGGGAGGCAGCAGUAGGGAAUCUUCCACAAUGGACGAAAGUCUGAUGGAGCAACGCCGCGUGAGUGAAGAAGGUUUUCGGAUCGUAAAACUCUGUUGUAAGGGAAGAACAAGUACAGUAGUAACUGGCUGUACCUUGACGGUACCUUAUUAGAAAGCCACGGCUAACUACGUGCCAGCAGCCGCGGUAAUACGUAGGUGGCAAGCGUUGUCCGGAAUUAUUGGGCGUAAAGCGCGCGCAGGCGGUCCUUUAAGUCUGAUGUGAAAGCCCUCGGCUCAACCGAGGAGGGUCAUUGGAAACUGGAGGACUUGAGUGCAGAAGAGGAAAGUGGAAUUCCAAGUGUAGCGGUGAAAUGCGUA